This is a long non-coding RNA of Anolis carolinensis (green anole), 2613 nucleotides long. The record is from Ensembl. NCBI's taxonomy places the organism in Eukaryota, Metazoa, Chordata, Lepidosauria, Squamata, Anolidae.
UCUCAAGGGGAUAAAGCGAUAAGCACAUAGCUGUGCCAUUUGCGCACUGAGAUGUGCCAUGCGCUGCGCUGCUGACAGCUUCAUCUCCUCUCCCUUUAGACAUGAAACACAGACAUCAUUAUGGCGAGCGCCUGGUUCCUGGACUCCGCAGGGACAGGUAGUCCUGAUCUGACACAAGGCCAGGCGCUAAACAUCAGAUAUGUUUACCUCAUCACUUGUUGGAGGAACCUAGAACCGUUACUUUACUGGACUGCAGUACCCAUCACUCCUCAACUAGAUCGGGAAUCUGGGAGACGCAACUCAAAAAUGCAAUUUUCCAAACUCUGCCCUCUGUAUGGUUCUUUGCUCUGUCCUUUUCCUAACCCAUAAAACUGAUAUUCUCAGGCUUGAACUUCUCUUUGUGUUGUAUAUAUAUAUAUAUUAAAUAUCAUUUUUAUUGUAAGGUUUGUAAGAACUUUGAUACAGUUCUUGUUAUGACAAAGAUUGUCUUUUCUGGAUACAAUAAUGGCAAUUGAACACUAUAACACAGACAAUGUGAAAGAAAGAGGGUGUGAGGGACGUAAGAGAGGCAGUAGACAAGACAAAGUGGGAACAGGUAAAAAAAAACAAAAGAACAAGCAAAAAAAGAGGGGAAGGGGGGAAAAAAGAAAAGAAAACAAGCAAGUAGAAAUAUAUACAUAUAAACAGUUGCUAUAGUAUUCCUGUUACUUCCAGAGCCCGUGUUGUAUAUUUUGACAUUUUUCUCAUGCAGCCACAAUUUUUUCUCUCCCUCUAUGAACAUUGUUAUCUUCUAUGAACAUUUUCCCUUCACAGAAGGCUGCUUCCCCCCCCCCCCCCAUCCACUUAGCUAUAUAGACUAAAAAUAAUGGACCUUGAGUUUGGACCUCCAAGACUUCCUUGGUGGACACCAAGCUGUUCACAAUUUUCCAAGUUUAACUUGGGGAGUGGCAUGGCCCUUGGCAUCAUUUCUUAUUGCCCUCCCUGGCAUUUUCCCACUCCUAUUCUGGUAUUUCUUAAGGUCAGGGCUUCUUUCUUCCUUGCUUGAACUACUUCCCUGCUUCAUAUGCCCUCCAUAGCAGACACAGCUUCAUUCGUGCUCCCCUUUUAUAAUACAAAUUGUGGCUUUCUAAUUCAAGAAGCAUGGGAAGAUCUAAGAAGAAAGGAGAAUGGAAGAAGCAAUAGUAGAAGUGGUGGUAGCCCCACAUCUACAAAGAAAUGAGAGUAACCUCCCUACCAUUGCUUGGUACCCACUCUCCACUCAUUAUUUAGCUUUGGAUGGAGUCAUCAGUCAUUGGAUUGGAUUGACUUCAUAUGUUCUUAUAAACUGUUGUUUUAACUAGAUUUUUAAUCUAUUGUAUGAGGGUUAUAUCCAGAAAGUAGAUUACGUUUUGGAAUUAAAAAUGAAAGCCACACCCAAAUACCACUUCUCAACAUAGUCGCCAUUCAAAUCAAGGCACUUAUCAUAGCGAUGAAUAUGCUUGGCAACUCCUUCACCACAAAACUCUGCUGCUUGUGUCCUCAACCAGCUGGUCACCCCUUCCCGCAGCUGCGCAUCGUCACCAAAACGCUGCGUUGAGAACGCAAGCAGCAGAGUUUUGUGGGGAAGGAGUUGCCAAGCUCAUUCAUCGCAAUGAUAAGUGCCUAGAUUUGAAUGGUGACUAUGUUGAGAAGUGGUAUUUGGGUGUGGCUUUCAACUGCAUAUGGUAAAUGUUUUCUCCUAUAAUUAGUUCAUUUUGAAUUCCAAAACAUAAUCUACUUUCUGGAUAACUCUCAUAGAUUAAAACUGUUGCUCCGCAUUUCAAAGUCCUGUUUUUUUAAUGAUCAUCUGUGUGGUAUAUCUUUUCUCUGGCAAGACAGUAUGUGGACUGGUCAAACGUGAACUAUACAUGAUUUUCAUUUCAUCACAGGUUAUGGGCCCGGUCUCACAUCCAGUUCCACAUCUGCUUGUGCCAGUGCCACUGCCAGAGGUAUUUUGAAAAGACUGUAGUAAAAUGUUUGAAGCUGCAUUUCUUGUAAGAGGAACCAUAGAAGAUAGAGAUGAAUCUUGCAGCCUUCCCAAUGGCAAGAUUGAAUGCCAGUACUCUUUUUGGAGAUUGAGAAUGGAGAGCAAACUAAGGAGGGAAUCCUUAUGGGAAUGCACGGUGACUCCAAUCCUCAUUGUGUGGAUGAUGAAUAGUUGAUCCAAAUAAGCAGCCUGGCUGUAGCCCAUGAAAUUUGGGUGAGGCUGAGAAUUGGUUUAAAAGUAUUAUUAUUAUUAUUAUUAUUAUUAUUAUUAUUAUUAUUAUUAUUAUUAGCUUGGACUCGGCUUCCUUUCUAGCUUGCAGUGGACCAGAUGGAGCUGGGAUAUACUUCUCAAAUUACUUUCUGUGAUUUACUGGUCUGUAAUCCAACGGCGGCUUGGAUUUACUCCUGUCUGCCUCUUUAAAAACACUUUACAUCUGACGAUUAAGUCUAUCCGACUUCUGAGGUACUCAGCACUUGAGAUCUUAAAGUGAUGUGUUCAUUUCGUCUUGUAGUUAGCAGCAGCUCUACUCAUAAAAUUAAACUAUCCAUUGGGCUUUAUCUCAUUAAAACUCAUUUGGGUGUUCAAAAAGACGUCCCCCAACCCAAGUU